GACCUAAUGGUGAAACGGUAUCGCGUCCACACUUCAUGGUCCCAUCGUAUACAGCUUCAGUGGAAGUCCCUGGUUUGACUCCAGGUUAGGUCU
This is a non-coding RNA of Mycena latifolia, 93 nucleotides long. NCBI's taxonomy places the organism in Eukaryota, Fungi, Basidiomycota, Agaricomycetes, Agaricales, Mycenaceae. The record is from the annotation of a GenBank genome assembly.